AGAUGAAAAAUCAGAGUAAUAAACUAGAGAUUUUGCGGAAAUGAUGUGAAAUGAUAAGAGAAUAGAACACAUAAAUAGGUUUCAGGAGUUUAGUGCUCUGAUACCAUGAGAGUUUAUGAGAUUAUUGAGACUUUAUGUGAAGAACAUAGAGAAAACAGAGAGAGAUUUACGGAUGGAAGCAAAGAAGUGAGGAACUGAAUCCUUAAUUAAUUUAGUGUCUGGUUACAUUCUUAAUAUAGACUACAAGUGGCCAUGCCAUGACAAACUAGAAACUCUAAACAAUGGAAGCAAGUAAGACAAACUUGCUUGGACAUAAGGGAUGAUAGUGACAUCUCGCCAAUCUCUCUCAUCCUUAACAUAACAUGUGAUCUCUCUUUGUUCCCUAGUUCCAACGGUCUCCUCCUUUUAUAUUAAACAUCUCCAUAGAGUUAGGACACUCCCACACGUGAUCUAUGUCCAUGUUUCUCCAUU
This 471-nucleotide long non-coding RNA is filed under the name Brassica napus (rape). RNAcentral describes it as "long non-coding RNA (BNAP_LNC000844)". Lineage: Eukaryota; Viridiplantae; Streptophyta; Magnoliopsida; Brassicales; Brassicaceae. The record is from RNAcentral.